AGUCACUGACAUUAGACUACCCCGGUAGUCCAGGGUGUAAACGCUGCAGACUUGGUGUUGGAGGCCCGUUUGGGGGCAUUCAGUGCCGGAGAGAAGUUGUUAAGUCUGCUACGUUGGGGAGUACGUCCGCAAGGAUAGAAACUUAAAGGAAUUGGCGGGGGAGCACCGCAACGGGAGGAGCGUGCGGUUUAAUUGGAUUCAACACCGUAAAACUCACCAGGGAAGACUGUUACAUGAAAGCCGAGAUGAAGACUCUGCUAGAUUUUCAG
This 269-nucleotide ribosomal RNA is filed under the name uncultured archaeon. RNAcentral's name for it is "partial 16S ribosomal RNA". It matches the Rfam family "Archaeal small subunit ribosomal RNA", at positions 718 to 982 of the family's 1478-position model. The record is from RNAcentral.